CAAAAGCAGGACGUGGGUAAAUGAGAGAAGAUAAGGUAUUGCCCCUGCAAGCAGAACAUCCUGUCUUCAAAAGGGAUCCUGGAGGAAGCAACACAGAGUGAUUCCACAGAGGGAAAGCCAGCACCUACAAUGGCUGUGAAGGGAAUGAGUAAAUAAAUCCUCAGACCAUGGAAUUUGGGCUUUCUGAUACAUCUGGAAUCCAGAUUGAUGAGAAGAUGAGAAGAUGAGAAGAUGAGAAGCAGGCACUCCAAUCAUGGGCAAGACUUCCUGAGACUCAUGCCCUCCAGCACUGCUUGUUGACCUCCCCUUCAAACUCAGGACAUUGAUGGACCAUCACAAUGGACAGAACACCCUGGACCUACAUGGUUGUAAAAGCUCUAGUCAUGGCCCCGUUGGAGUUUACAGUGAUGCAUUCUUUCACUGAGAGAUUAUAUUCUCCUGAGACCAAACCUUCUGCAGGUACUUACCAGUUCUUAUGAAGUUCUUAUCUGGGGAAGAUUCUCAUGCCUAGGAUGAAAUACAUCAAAGAGCAAGAAAACGUCAGCUCCUCCUAGAUAAUCAUCCUGUGAUCAAGACACUGACUGGUGGCACAGGAGUCCAGAUUUC
Pseudopodoces humilis (Tibetan ground-tit) is the source of this 606-nucleotide long non-coding RNA. RefSeq lists it as uncharacterized. NCBI's taxonomy places the organism in Eukaryota, Metazoa, Chordata, Aves, Passeriformes, Paridae. The record is from RefSeq and is a predicted model, not a curated record.